GUUCUCGUUCAGCUCGAGAGCUGAACACAUCAAAAUUUUAAUUUGAAAGUUUAGUUUGGACCUUUUUCCACAAAUUCUGGUUUCUCCAAAAAAUCUUUAGUAAGAUGAUAUCUCUAUAGAGCGGCGGGACCGACCUCCAUAUGGGCGAGAGGAUUGCGCUGGGCUGGUAGUCAAAUGUGUACUCUUUUAUAAAUGAUAGUCCAAUAUAUUUUUGUCCAAGGUUUAUUCGUAAUACAUCCCCUUUGAUACACUAAGGACGGUAAUGGCGGUACCGAAGGCAGAUUGCGCCAAUUUAGGAAACAAAAUGCAAGUUGGGGUCGCUGGCAAUCCUUCUAAUUGCUACAACUAUCCUUU
Long non-coding RNA from Scaptodrosophila lebanonensis, 354 nucleotides. RefSeq lists it as uncharacterized. The transcript has 3 exons. The record is from RefSeq and is a predicted model, not a curated record. NCBI's taxonomy places the organism in Eukaryota, Metazoa, Arthropoda, Insecta, Diptera, Drosophilidae.